Molecule: non-coding RNA, 2675 nt
Organism: Capsicum annuum
Lineage: Eukaryota; Viridiplantae; Streptophyta; Magnoliopsida; Solanales; Solanaceae
Source: Rfam
CGACACCAGAUCAGGUGAGAUUACCCGUUGAGUUUAAGCUUAUAAAUAAGUAGAGGAAAUAAAACAUAGAAUGAUUUCCUUAGUAACAACGAGGGAACUGGGAACAUCCCAGCCUUAGAAUCGUAUGGCUCCAUUAUCCAAAUUGUAGUCUAGAGAAGCGUUCUUAGUGGCGGACCAAGCCAAAGUCCCAUUGAAGGGGGUGCUAGAGUGGGUGAGAUCUUCAUUGUGCCCACACCCUAUGGCACUACAAGGUGCUAUCUACGAGUUUGGUUGUUUGAGAAUGCAGCCCAAAUUGGGUCAUGAAUUCCAUUUAAGGAUAAAUACGAGCGAGAGACCGAUAUUGAACAAAUACCACAAGGAAAAGAUGAAAAGAACUUUGAAAAGACAGUCAAACAUUGCUGAAAUUCUUAGGAAGCAAGCAAUGGUGGUCGGAGAUAUGCCCCAUUUGGGUGUAAAACGGCGAUGAGCCAUUCCACUGACUUACUCAAGGCAUGGACUAGCGUGGAUUGGUGGGAUUCCAAAGCUCAGGAUCUUGAUAUGCUUGUGGAAUGUCGCAUCUGUGAUUAAGGUAGGCAGUGCAUGCCUCUGGCAUUCAUCGGCAUCUGCAUGCUCCGGAUGCUGGCCUGUGGGUUUCUCAUUCGACCCAUCUUAAAUCACAGACCAAGGAGUUUGACAUAUUUGUGACACAACGAGCGAGUAAACCCAUAAGACAUAAGUAAGCUAAUUGGUGGGAUCCCCCUAAGGGCUGCACUACAGAUCGACCUUGAUAUUCUAAGAAGUGUUCGAGUGUGGGUAUAAGAAAGAUUAUAAACUAUGCCUGAGUGGGGAAAAGCUGGAGAAAACUCUGGUGGAGGCCCACAGCAAUACAAUUGGGCAAAUCAUUCUUUUGACUUUGAUAUAGGGUGAAAGACUAAUCGAACCAUUUAGUAGCUGGUUCCAUAUGAAAUUUCCCUCAGGAUAGCCAGAGCUCGCGUGUAAGUUUUAUUGGGUAAAGCCAAUGAUAAAAGGCCUCGGGGGAAGAACGCACGCCCUCGACCUAAUCUCAAACUUUAAAUAGGUAGGACGGUGUGACUGCUUUGUUGAGCCGCACCAUGGAAUUAAGAUCUCCAAUCAGGCUAUUUUUGGUAAGCAAAAAUAGCGAUGCAGGAUGAACCGAAAGCCGAGUUGCAGUCCAAACUGUAUGCUAAUCUAGAUCUUAUAAAGUGUGUAGGUCAAUUAAGAUAGCAGGAUAUUGCUAAUAGAAGUCUAAAUCUAUUAAGGAGUGUGUAACAACCUACUUGCCAAAUCAACUAGCCCCAAAAAUGGAUGGAGCUUAAGCGUACAACCUACACCCUUUCGAUGGGCCAAUUGCCAGGUCCCGAUGAGUAAAAGGGUGUUGCAGUCACUACAUAACCUUGGGUACGAGCCUGGGUAGAGCAACCAUCGUACAGAUCUUAGUGGAAGUUAGAAAUAUUCUAAUAAGAACUUUGAAGGCUAAAGAGGAGAAAGGUUCAUGUGAAUGGCACUUGCACAUGGGUUAGUAGAUCCUAUGGGUCGGGGAAACCCCAACAAAUAGUGAAUUUUGUGCAUACUAUAAAAGGGAAUCGAGUUAAAAUUCCUAAACCAGGACGUGGCGAUCGACGACAACAUUAGGAAUUUUGGAGAUAUUAGUGGGAGCCUCAGAAAGAGUUAGCUUUCCUAUUUAAUAGCCUACGUACCCUGGAAUCGGCUCAGCCUGAGGUAGGGUCCAGUGGCUGGAAGUGCACUGCAUGUCACGUAGUUUCUGGUGCACUCCCGAAGGCCCUUGAAAAUAUGGAGGACCGAAAGCAUCCAUACCCGAUCAUACUCAUUACUGCAUCAAGUCUCUAAAGUGAAUAUCCUCUGGUCGAUGGAAGAUUAUAGGAAUAGGAAGUCAGCAAAAUGGAUCCAUAACUUUGGGAAAAGGAUUAGAUUUAAGAGUUAGGCACGGGGUCCCAAUCCUAAACCCGUCGACUAUCGGUGUACUACUAGAGAUGCUUCCACGGCAAGAGUGGGUCACCGCGUGCCGGCUAGGGGACCAACUGAGAAUGGUUCAUUCAAGGGCCAUCCCCACAUGUCGAACAGCCAACUUAGAACUAGUACUGACAAGGUGAACCAGACUUUUUAAUUAAAAAAAAAUCAUUGCAAUGGUCCCAACGGAUGUUCACGCAUUAUGAUUUUUGCCAAGUUCUCUGAAUGUCAAAGUCAAGAAAUUCAACCUAGAGCAGGUAAUGGCGUGAAUAACUAUGACACUUUUAAGGUUUCCAAAUGCCUCGUCAAUUAAUUAGUGAAGCGCAUGAAUGGAUUAGAAGAUUACCACAGUCCCUAUAAGCUAUCUAGCAAAACGACAUUGCUUGGUUGAACAGCCAGUGGUUCGAGGCUACCAUGUGCUGCAUUAUGACUGAACGCCUCUAAGUCAGAAUCUGAGCUUCAAGCGGCGCAUGCGUUCACUAUCUUCUUGUUGACAAGCAGUAGGGGCCUCGACCCCUCAGGGCACAUGUCGUUUGCUAAGCCAUUGCUGCAAAAGUGUCACGGUGGCCGCCUUGAUGUACAAUUUUUUUUACGUGGCGGGUAGAAUCCUUUGCAGACGACUUAAAUAUGUGAUGGGGUAUUUUAAGAGUAAAGUGGACUUGCUGCCAUGAUCCAUUAAUAUUCAUCCCUUUGUCGGUCCGAUUAGU